Molecule: small nucleolar RNA, 129 nt
Organism: Otolemur garnettii (small-eared galago)
Lineage: Eukaryota; Metazoa; Chordata; Mammalia; Primates; Galagidae
Source: Ensembl
GGGGUGUACUCAGAGCAGGGGCCCUGAAGAACGGCUCCUCUGUUUACAGCACACCCAACAGGAAUCUGGGGUCACUGUGAUAAGGGGCCCAAAACUUGUGGUCUCCCUAUGAACAAAUUCCCUACAUGU